This 736-nucleotide long non-coding RNA is filed under the name Homo sapiens (human). Its description in RNAcentral is "HSALNT0208270". The record is from RNAcentral. Lineage: Eukaryota; Metazoa; Chordata; Mammalia; Primates; Hominidae.
CUUGGUGCCAUCUGUGGGGAGCUCCAUGUCAAGGUCCAUGCUGCUCUCUGGAUGCCGAGUGGCUAGCCUGGGUCAAGUGUCAGCUCCAGAUCAUCGAUGUCCCUUUUGAGCUCUGAGCACUCAUCUUCCAGCUUGCGCUUCUUGGCAGUGAGCUCAGCAUUCAUCUCCUCCUCAUCCUCCAGCCUCUCGUUCAUCUCCUUCACCUUGGCCUCCAGCUGAAUCUUGUUUUUGAUCAGCUGAUCACAGCGCUCCUCAGCAUCUGCCAGGUUGUCUUGUUCCUGAAGCAGCGGCUUGAUCUUGAAGUAGAGCUUCAUCCAGGGCCAAUUCUUGACCCCCAUGAAGGCCCGAAUGUUCCACUGGAUUACCAGCAGGGAGUCUCUGCAGGGGCCCAUUGAAAGGAGUGCUGAGCCUCCUGCCUCCUUCCUACCUGAGGUCUCUGUGUUUGAAGAUCUGCUGAGCUUUUUUUCCUGACACUGCCCCUGAACCAGCCUGGGCCUCAGAGAAGCGGGAAACCUCCUCUUGAGAUCUCUCACCUACGUUCCAGCAGCUUUUUGUACUCCAUUCUGGCGAGCACACCUCGGGACUGGGCCUGGAUACGCGUGAUGAUGCGGCUCAGCCUCUCGUCCCUCAUUUCCUCCAGCAGCCCCAGCAGCCCGGCCUUGAAGAACACCUGCAGGCAAGCCAGCCAAUGAUGUUGUAGUCCACGAUGCCGGCAUAGUGGAUCAGGGAGAAGUGG